RNAcentral lists this ribosomal RNA (2793 nucleotides) under Escherichia coli. RNAcentral's name for it is "bacterial LSU rRNA". It matches the Rfam family "Bacterial large subunit ribosomal RNA". The record is from RNAcentral. Lineage: Bacteria; Pseudomonadati; Pseudomonadota; Gammaproteobacteria; Enterobacterales; Enterobacteriaceae.
UUAAGCGACUAAGCGUACACGGUGGAUGCCCUGGCAGUCAGAGGCGAUGAAGGACGUGCUAAUCUGCGAUAAGCGUCGGUAAGGUGAUAUGAACCGUUAUAACCGGCGAUUUCCGAAUGGGGAAACCCAGUGUGUUUCGACACACUAUCAUUAACUGAAUCCAUAGGUUAAUGAGGCGAACCGGGGGAACUGAAACAUCUAAGUACCCCGAGGAAAAGAAAUCAACCGAGAUUCCCCCAGUAGCGGCGAGCGAACGGGGAGCAGCCCAGAGCCUGAAUCAGUAUGUGUGUUAGUGGAAGCGUCUGGAAAGGCGCGCGAUACAGGGUGACAGCCCCGUACACAAAAAUGCACAUGCUGUGAGCUCGAUGAGUAGGGCGGGACACGUGGUAUCCUGUCUGAAUAUGGGGGGACCAUCCUCCAAGGCUAAAUACUCCUGACUGACCGAUAGUGAACCAGUACCGUGAGGGAAAGGCGAAAAGAACCCCGGCGAGGGGAGUGAAAAAGAACCUGAAACCGUGUACGUACAAGCAGUGGGAGCACGCUUAGGCGUGUGACUGCGUACCUUUUGUAUAAUGGGUCAGCGACUUAUAUUCUGUAGCAAGGUUAACCGAAUAGGGGAGCCGAAGGGAAACCGAGUCUUAACUGGGCGUUAAGUUGCAGGGUAUAGACCCGAAACCCGGUGAUCUAGCCAUGGGCAGGUUGAAGGUUGGGUAACACUAACUGGAGGACCGAACCGACUAAUGUUGAAAAAUUAGCGGAUGACUUGUGGCUGGGGGUGAAAGGCCAAUCAAACCGGGAGAUAGCUGGUUCUCCCCGAAAGCUAUUUAGGUAGCGCCUCGUGAAUUCAUCUCCGGGGGUAGAGCACUGUUUCGGCAAGGGGGUCAUCCCGACUUACCAACCCGAUGCAAACUGCGAAUACCGGAGAAUGUUAUCACGGGAGACACACGGCGGGUGCUAACGUCCGUCGUGAAGAGGGAAACAACCCAGACCGCCAGCUAAGGUCCCAAAGUCAUGGUUAAGUGGGAAACGAUGUGGGAAGGCCCAGACAGCCAGGAUGUUGGCUUAGAAGCAGCCAUCAUUUAAAGAAAGCGUAAUAGCUCACUGGUCGAGUCGGCCUGCGCGGAAGAUGUAACGGGGCUAAACCAUGCACCGAAGCUGCGGCAGCGACGCUUAUGCGUUGUUGGGUAGGGGAGCGUUCUGUAAGCCUGUGAAGGUGUGCUGUGAGGCAUGCUGGAGGUAUCAGAAGUGCGAAUGCUGACAUAAGUAACGAUAAAGCGGGUGAAAAGCCCGCUCGCCGGAAGACCAAGGGUUCCUGUCCAACGUUAAUCGGGGCAGGGUGAGUCGACCCCUAAGGCGAGGCCGAAAGGCGUAGUCGAUGGGAAACAGGUUAAUAUUCCUGUACUUGGUGUUACUGCGAAGGGGGGACGGAGAAGGCUAUGUUGGCCGGGCGACGGUUGUCCCGGUUUAAGCGUGUAGGCUGGUUUUCCAGGCAAAUCCGGAAAAUCAAGGCUGAGGCGUGAUGACGAGGCACUACGGUGCUGAAGCAACAAAUGCCCUGCUUCCAGGAAAAGCCUCUAAGCAUCAGGUAACAUCAAAUCGUACCCCAAACCGACACAGGUGGUCAGGUAGAGAAUACCAAGGCGCUUGAGAGAACUCGGGUGAAGGAACUAGGCAAAAUGGUGCCGUAACUUCGGGAGAAGGCACGCUGAUAUGUAGGUGAAGUCCCUCGCGGAUGGAGCUGAAAUCAGUCGAAGAUACCAGCUGGCUGCAACUGUUUAUUAAAAACACAGCACUGUGCAAACACGAAAGUGGACGUAUACGGUGUGACGCCUGCCCGGUGCCGGAAGGUUAAUUGAUGGGGUUAGCCGCAAGGCGAAGCUCUUGAUCGAAGCCCCGGUAAACGGCGGCCGUAACUAUAACGGUCCUAAGGUAGCGAAAUUCCUUGUCGGGUAAGUUCCGACCUGCACGAAUGGCGUAAUGAUGGCCAGGCUGUCUCCACCCGAGACUCAGUGAAAUUGAACUCGCUGUGAAGAUGCAGUGUACCCGCGGCAAGACGGAAAGACCCCGUGAACCUUUACUAUAGCUUGACACUGAACAUUGAGCCUUGAUGUGUAGGAUAGGUGGGAGGCUUAGAAGUGUGGACGCCAGUCUGCAUGGAGCCGACCUUGAAAUACCACCCUUUAAUGUUUGAUGUUCUAACGUUGACCCGUAAUCCGGGUUGCGGACAGUGUCUGGUGGGUAGUUUGACUGGGGCGGUCUCCUCCUAAAGAGUAACGGAGGAGCACGAAGGUUGGCUAAUCCUGGUCGGACAUCAGGAGGUUAGUGCAAUGGCAUAAGCCAGCUUGACUGCGAGCGUGACGGCGCGAGCAGGUGCGAAAGCAGGUCAUAGUGAUCCGGUGGUUCUGAAUGGAAGGGCCAUCGCUCAACGGAUAAAAGGUACUCCGGGGAUAACAGGCUGAUACCGCCCAAGAGUUCAUAUCGACGGCGGUGUUUGGCACCUCGAUGUCGGCUCAUCACAUCCUGGGGCUGAAGUAGGUCCCAAGGGUAUGGCUGUUCGCCAUUUAAAGUGGUACGCGAGCUGGGUUUAGAACGUCGUGAGACAGUUCGGUCCCUAUCUGCCGUGGGCGCUGGAGAACUGAGGGGGGCUGCUCCUAGUACGAGAGGACCGGAGUGGACGCAUCACUGGUGUUCGGGUUGUCAUGCCAAUGGCACUGCCCGGUAGCUAAAUGCGGAAGAGAUAAGUGCUGAAAGCAUCUAAGCACGAAACUUGCCCCGAGAUGAGUUCUCCCUGAC